GUGACCUCAAAUCAGGUAGGACUACCCGCUGAACUUAAGCAUAUCAAUAAGCGGAGGAAAAGAAACUAACAAGGAUUCCCCUAGUAACUGCGAGUGAAGCGGGAAAAGCUCAAAUUUAAAAUCUGGCAGUCUCCGGCUGUCCGAGUUGUAAUCUAGAGAAGUGUUAUCCGCGUUGGACCGUGUACAAGUCUCCUGGAAUGGAGCAUCAUAGAGGGUGAGAAUCCCGUCUUUGACACGGACUGCCAGGGCUUUGUGAUGCGCUCUCAAAGAGUCGAGUUGUUUGGGAAUGCAGCUCAAAAUGGGUGGUAAAUUCCAUCUAAAGCUAAAUAUUGGCGAGAGACCGAUAGCGAACAAGUACCGUGAGGGAAAGAUGAAAAGAACUUUGGAAAGAGAGUUAAACAGUACGUGAAAUUGCUGAAAGGGAAACGCUUGAAGUCAGUCGCGUUGAUCAGGGAUCAACCUUGCUUUUGCUUGGUGCACUUUCUGGUUAAUGGGUCAGCAUCAAUUUUGACCAUUGGAAAAAGGUCAGGGGAAUGUGGCAUCUUCAGAUGUGUUUAUAGCCCUUGGUUGCAUACAAUGGU
Molecule: ribosomal RNA, 581 nt
Filed under: Aureonarius kroegeri
Lineage: Eukaryota; Fungi; Basidiomycota; Agaricomycetes; Agaricales; Cortinariaceae
Description: eukaryotic LSU rRNA
Rfam family: Eukaryotic large subunit ribosomal RNA
Source: RNAcentral